RNAcentral lists this ribosomal RNA (684 nucleotides) under Triticum aestivum (bread wheat). RNAcentral's name for it is "partial small subunit ribosomal RNA". The record is from RNAcentral. Lineage: Eukaryota; Viridiplantae; Streptophyta; Magnoliopsida; Poales; Poaceae.
AUGAGAGACCUUCUUAAGUAUUGCAAGAGAAGGGGCCUGCUGAUAGAGCUGGGCGAGAAGGCGAUACUAGUUAUCAGGUCAGAGAGAGGCCUGGCCCAUAAGCUGGCCACCUUUAAAAGCCAUUCCUUAUUAAUAAGGAUUUGUUACGCGCGAUAUGCCGACGACUUACUACUGGGAAUCGUGGGUGUCGUAUUUCUUCUCAUAGGAAUACAAAAAAGUAUCACCCACUUCCUACAAUCCAGUCUGAACCUUUGGGUAGGCUCUGCAGGAUCAACAACCAUAGAUGCACGGAGUACGGUAGAAUUCCCCGGUAUGGUCAUUCGGGAAGUCCCCCCGAGGACGACUCCCAUACAAUUCUCGCGAGAGCUGGAGAAGCAACGACGGGUAAAGCACCGUAUCCAUAUAACUGCUUGCCAUCUACACUCCGCCAUCCAUUCCAAGUUUAGGGACCUAGGUUAUAGUAUCCCUAUCAAAGAGCUAACGAAGGGGAUGAGCGGAAGAGUUUGUCUACUGGAUGCGGUUCAACUAGCGGAGACUCUUGGAAAAGAUGGACUAAAAAGUCCCCAAGUUAGCAUAUUAUGGGGGACCGUCAAGCACAUCCGGCAAAGAACGAGGAGGAUCUCGUUAUUGCCUAGCUCAGGUCAGAGCAAGGUGCCAUCAGGCAUUCAACAGGCAGUAUCAUGA